Molecule: non-coding RNA, 868 nt
Organism: Oryzias latipes (Japanese medaka)
Lineage: Eukaryota; Metazoa; Chordata; Actinopteri; Beloniformes; Adrianichthyidae
Source: RefSeq, a predicted model, not a curated record
CUCGCGAGAACUUGUAUACAGGACGUUCCUACACCGAUACUGAUUAAGGUUUAUUUUUUGCUCUUAGCUCAUCCGGUAAAGCAUUAAAAAUGUCUUUUUGUAGAUUUGUUGGUGGAGAAAUUUACAAGGAUCAUUUUAAACCAGGCAUAUAUGUGUGCUCCAAUUGCAACCAUCCUCUGUUCUCCAGUCGGUCCAAGUUUGCCCACUCGUCUCCUUGGCCGGCCUUCACCGACACGCUCAGGGAGGACAGCGUCACCAAACUGAUGGAGACUCUCACCGCCUUCAAGGUCCUGUGUGGGAAGUGUGGCAGCGGACUGGGUCACGAGUUCGUCAAUGACGGUCCGGUGGAGGGAAAGUCACGCUUUUGAAUAUUCAGCCACUCGCUAAAGUUCGUCCCCAAUAAAGAUAAAGACAAACAGUAAAGAGCGAGAUGGAAGCAUCCAGAACGUGUCCCAGUGAGGGGGACAGGUCAGCGGGUGACGUGGACGGGGGGAAAGGCCUGAGAAGGACGCCCUGACCACUGAAGAAUCUUUGACCAGGAGGGAGCCCCUUCCCAAACUUUACAUUCCAUCCGCUCCUCAUAUUCAUUCCUGUGAAGUUCUUUCAUGAAGCAUGAUUUUCAAACAACUAAUCAUUCCUCCUUAGAGUGUGCUUUAAUAUUCUGAACAGGAAGUGGACACAAACAAACAUUUGCACAAAUAAUAUCUAUGCACUAAAACCCAGAAUCUGCACAGAUUCUGGGUUUUUCAUGUUUUUGUUGCUUAUUUUCUUUGCAUUGAUCAGCUAAGACACAAAGAUUUUAUCUUGUACUUCUAUGCUUUGAUGCUUGUUUGAAAGAAAACUACAAAUAAAACCAAAUUCUCUGUCA